Long non-coding RNA from Anguilla rostrata (American eel), 1000 nucleotides. RefSeq lists it as uncharacterized. The record is from RefSeq and is a predicted model, not a curated record. NCBI's taxonomy places the organism in Eukaryota, Metazoa, Chordata, Actinopteri, Anguilliformes, Anguillidae. The transcript has 2 exons.
CUCUGUGUUAUUUGCACUUUGUGGUACUGCUGCAGAAUCCGUCUUUCGCAGUCAUAUCGCACCAUCCGACAGCUCCCUCCCUCGCCGAUCCGUCUUCUUUCUUUCUUAUUAUUAUUUUUGGAGCGCUGGUGACGGUACUGACCCAGAUAGGAGUGCAGUCACUCGAGGGAUUGUGGGUAACCUGCUAAAUUUGAUUAUAGCCGCACCUCACUGCCCCCCCCUCCACCCCGCAGUACCCCGUAGCGUUUAGUCUGGCGGUGUGAGCACGGAGCAGCCCCCGCCUGCGCGGCUCAGGGCUGGCGGGAUUGGACGGCGGCUCCAUUCGCUUCUCCGUGUUCAGGUCACACGGGUCAGCCCUCUGGCUGCUGUUUAUCCACCUCGCACAUGCAGUAUCCAUGGUGACCUACAUCGCACGUGUGUUUCUGUAUUACGCCUUUACACGCGGGAAUCCUGCAGCAGGUGUGUUCAGGGCUGGGUCACAGGUAAUGCUCAGGUGUUGUGUUAAGGGGUUGGGUCACAGGUAAUGCUCAGGUGUUGUGUUAAGGGGUUGGGUCACAGAGAAUGCUCCGGUGUGUUCAGGUUUGUCUCUCAGGUAAAGCGCAGGUGUGUUCAGGGCUGGGUCACAGGUAAUGCUCAGGUGUUGUGUUAAGGGGUUGGGUCACAGGUAAUGCUCAGGUGUUGUGUUAAGGGGUUGGGUCACAGAGAAUGCUCAGGUGUGUUCAGGGCUGGGUCACAGGUAAUGCUCAGGUGUUGUGUUCAGGUUCAGUAAUCCAUGCGGAAUUUCAGCACGCAAACUCAGCUGUAGGUCCUAAGAACAGAAAACCCGCUGCUCUCAAAAGGAAAGCUGCUGUUUGAAAAGCAGGGUCCAGUGGCCUUCAGCCCUCUGGGCUGCAAACUCCACCACAGUGUGGUGCGGUUAAAAAUAAAUCAGGGCACAAACCAUAGAAAUGCCAACUGAGAUUAAAAUCAUCACAGUAUUAUUACACAAACACACACACAC